AGCCGUUACAGGCGCGCAAUGAAUCUUGGGAUAACCUCGACUGUUUGGGAUGCAUUCGCCCGCCGUCGUGUCUUCUAUUCCGGGCUGAAUGGAGAAGGUCAUCAGAGGGCGAGACUAACUAUCCUGUUCAGUGUCAGCCUAAGAGUGUAGAUACAUAGAUUAGCCAUGUGCCACUGCUGUGGAUGUCAAUACUGCAAAACUCCCCGGCACCCCCUGCUUGAUUGUUCAAGGUGACCUAAUGAAGCCCUCUGGAUGGCUUAUAUCCAUCGAGGGACAUGUCGUGAUGGGCCUACACCUUUUUACACGGAGUAGCUGCUUUCUUCAGCAGCUAUUACGUAUUCGACCUUGUGUGUCCUGCUGCUGGAUCUUCGAUGCUGGAGUUCAUUCAAAGGUGCUUCCUGGGCAUCAAUCCUGAAAGAGGCUCAAAGACCAAGAAGCGGACAACAAUUAACCCUCAUGUGAGCACACUGUUGAGGACUUAUUGACUUUGAGUGGGCAUCAUAGUUUUUUUUUUUUUUCGGCUCAGUUUUGAGUAGCCUUGUUCUUUUUGUAAUUUUUCAAGACAACUUUGCACUAAGAUUUUAACAUAAUGCUUUUGCGUGUGGACUCAUUAUAAUGUUUGAGACUGAGAGGAGGGCCUGACCCCUUUACGACAUUCAUUCAUCGCUCUCUACCUUGCUCUCUUAUCUUGCCAUGAAGGCCUCAUUCCCAUCCUGUCCAUUACUGUUAUUGUGACACAGCUGGUUGAAUUUUGAGACUGGUAGUUGAAUUGCAAGUUUGCGCAAGUUCUCUGCUUUUUAAGAUGGCUUUUAUGACUAAGAAAUUGAAUUUCUUGAACUUUUGAAGUUCUUGGCAUCUGCUGUACAUUGAAAAAUAUGUAUUUGUUAAUAAAAUAUGCCAUUGGGCUAACAUUGA
Paramisgurnus dabryanus is the source of this 915-nucleotide long non-coding RNA. RefSeq lists it as uncharacterized. The record is from RefSeq and is a predicted model, not a curated record. Lineage: Eukaryota; Metazoa; Chordata; Actinopteri; Cypriniformes; Cobitidae.